AUUGAACGCUGGCGGCAGGCCUAACACAUGCAAGUCGAGCGGACGUAGGGGGCUUGCUCCUGGAUUCAGCGGCGGCCGGGUGGGUAAUGCCUAGGAAUCUGCCUUGUAUUUGGGGAUCACGUCCGUAUACGGGCGCUAAUCUCGCAUAGGACCUUUUGUCGAAUUUGGGGGAUCUUCCGUCCUCACCCUUUCUUCUGUGACUGGGUCGGAUUAGCUAGUUGGUUUGGUUAAGGGCUACCAAGGCGACGAUCCGUAACUGGUCUGAGAGGAUGAUCAGGCACACUGGAACUGAGACACGGUCCAGACUCCGACGGGAGGCAGCAGUAGGGAAUAUUACGCAAUGGGCGAAAGCCUGAUCGAGCAAAGCCGCGUGAGUGAAGAAGGUCUUAGGAUUGGAAAACAAUGUAAGUAGGGAGGAAGGAAAGUAAGUUAAAACAUGACUGUAUUGACGGUACCAACAGAAGAAGCACCGGCUAACUUCGUG
Molecule: ribosomal RNA, 484 nt
Filed under: uncultured bacterium
Lineage: Bacteria
Description: partial 16S ribosomal RNA
Rfam family: Bacterial small subunit ribosomal RNA
Source: RNAcentral